This 1380-nucleotide ribosomal RNA is filed under the name uncultured bacterium. Its description in RNAcentral is "partial 16S ribosomal RNA". It matches the Rfam family "Bacterial small subunit ribosomal RNA". The record is from RNAcentral.
AGAGUUUGAUCCUGGCUCAGGAUGAACUCUGGCGGCGUGCUUAACACAUGCAAGUCGAACGGACUUAAUGGAGAGCUUGCUCGAAAUUAAGUUAGUGGCGGACGGGUGAGUAACGCGUGGGUAACCUGCCUUGUACUGGGGGACAACAGUUGGAAACGACUGCUAAUACCGCAUAAGCGCACGGAGCUGCAUGGCUCUGUGUGAAAAACUCAGGUGGUACAAGAUGGACCCGCGUCUGAUUAGCUAGUUGGUGAGGUAACGGCCCACCAAGGCGACGAUCAGUAGCCGGCCUGAGAGGGUGAACGGCCACAUUGGGACUGAGACACGGCCCAAACUCCUACGGGAGGCAGCAGUGGGGAAUAUUGCACAAUGGGGGAAACCCUGAUGCAGCGACGCCGCGUGAGUGAAGAAGUAUUUCGGUAUGUAAAGCUCUAUCAGCAGGGAAGAAAAUGACGGUACCUGACUAAGAAGCCCCGGCUAAAUACGUGCCAGCAGCCGCGGUAAUACGUAUGGUGCAAGCGUUAUCCGGAUUUUACUGGGUGUAAAGGGAGCGCAGACGGCAUGGCAAGCCAGAUGUGAAAUGCGGGGGCUCAACUCCUGAACUGCAUUUGGAACUGUCAAGCUAGAGUAUCGGAGAGGUAAGUGGAAUUCCUAGUGUAGCGGUGAAAUGCGUAGAUAUUAGGAGGAACACCAGUGGCGAAGGCGGCUUACUGGACGAUAACUGACGUUGAGGCUCGAAAGCGUGGGGAGCAAACAGGAUUAGAUACCCUGGUAGUCCACGCCGUAAACGAUGAAUACUAGGUGUCGGGUACUAUGAGUAUUCGGUGCCGCAGCAAACGCAAUAAGUAUUCCACCUGGGGAGUACGCCGGCAACGGUGAAACUCAAAGGAAUUGACGGGGGCCCGCACAAGCGGAGGAACAUGUGGUUUAAUUCGAUGAUACGCGAGGAACCUUACCCGGGCUUGAAUUGCAGAGGGAUGUGGCAGAGAUGCCCCAGUCAGCAAUGACCUCUGUGAAGGUGCUGCAUGGUUGUCGUCAGCUCGUGCCGUGAGGUGUCGGCUUAAGUGCCAUAACGAGCGCAACCCUUGUCCACAGUUGCCAUCAGGUAGUGCUGGGCACUCUGUGGAGACUGCCAUCGCAAGAUGUGAGGAAGGUGGGGAUGACGUCAAAUCAGCACGGCCCUUACGUCCGGGGCUACACACGUGUUACAAUGGGGGGCACAGCGCGUUGCUACCGGGUGACCGGCUGCGGAUCGUGAAAUCCCCUCUCAGUUCGGACUGGAGUCUGCAACCCGACUCCACGAAGCUGGAUUCGCUAGUAAUCGCGCAUCAGCCAUGGCGCGGUGAAUACGUUCCCGGGCCUUGCACUCACCGCCCGUCA